AAAAACAAUAUUUUGUACGUUAGUCAAUACACAACUCUUGACCAUAGUACAAGUAGAAUCAUUUUCAUAUAGUAUCUUCUGGAUAUUCCAACAUCUGAAUUUACCUAUUAGUAUUUCUUAAACCAAUAAAGAGAGCGAAAGAACAAAAAACUAUACAAAGCAGUUGAAAAGGGCUUGAAUCAUCAGCUCGACACAAAACCCCACAAGAACAAUUAACAAAAAGGCUAAGGUACCGAUCUGAAAGAUCUCACAGCUGCUGAAAGCUAGUUUAAAUCAAAUAAUAACAAAUAAUAAAAAUGAUUCAAUCAUUAACAAUACAUAUUUAUAAGUAAACGUUUAAAAGUCUGAGUUUCCAAAAUAUACGUCUUUUUGCAAUCAUUUGCUUAAGCGGAGCACUAUCCAAUAAUAGGAACUGAUGUGUUGCAGUGAAUCACUUGUGAAGAAAGGCUAUGCAAUGGUCGUCGUCUUAGCUCUUGAGGAUUCUCACAUACAAUUAAUCUUGACAAAACAUCUCCGUGUAUAAAGGAAUGAUAUGAUGAAACAAGAUGACACAUAUGAUAAUCACAGACCCAAGGAUUUGAAGACAUCACUAGGAUAUA
RNAcentral lists this long non-coding RNA (599 nucleotides) under Mytilus galloprovincialis (Mediterranean mussel). Lineage: Eukaryota; Metazoa; Mollusca; Bivalvia; Mytilida; Mytilidae. The record is from RNAcentral.